This 1628-nucleotide long non-coding RNA is filed under the name Sus scrofa (pig). RNAcentral's name for it is "lncRNA (ENSSSCG00065076318.1)". Lineage: Eukaryota; Metazoa; Chordata; Mammalia; Artiodactyla; Suidae. The record is from RNAcentral.
GUUUCUUGCAUCCACAAGCUAAACAAUGGUGCUUUGUCCCAAGUCUCUCCCAGGAUGGGUCAACCUAGAGGAAAAUAAAGCACAAGGGCCCUCGCGUGGAAUUUAGCCUCAGGGCUCCGGAACCAUGGGAUGCUCCGGCCUUCGGAAGGACACUCUCUGGCCUCCAGCUUCCCAAGGACGGGCUCACGUGCUGCCCCUCGCGAGGGCUGGGAGCCGCAUCAGCACAGUCUGUUAAUCGCCCUUGGCACAGCCGAGCAAGCAGCUCCGGGAAGCCAAUUAGUGGAACAAUGUCUAGAAGACUGAGCACCACAUAACAUCAGAGGCAAGGGGCGAUGGCACCUUAUCAGCCAGAGCCAACCUGUUAGCACAGCUUUGAAGACGUUUCUAAGAAUAGGCUGGAAAAAUCAUUAAACUCGACAUGCAGCCUUUCUCCAGCCCUGGCCCUCCACAGUCACCACGCAGCCGGGGGCCUCAUACUCAGUAGGUGCUGGAGGAAGUUUUUAGAUACGCAAGAGAAAAAACACGUUAUGAUUUCUGUUUUGCACCCAGAGCCUCUCCAUCUGUAUGGACUCCUUCCUUCCCCUCAGGAUUCAAACCAAGCCCUCGUUCCCCGCUCACAGUCCGUCUCCUCCUGUCUCUCCCCACCAGGCACAAAGCUCUGGAAAGAAUGAUUCUCGCCCAUACCCUGUAUUGUAUUACCCUCCAAUACCUGACUCUGCUCCGGCCCCACCACGCCUCCGAAACCGCCCUGGCCAAGAUUUCCAAAGACCUUCUCAACCUUGAGUAAGCCCGUCUCGGAUGUGCACUGAACUUGGCUCUCGGCCGUGGUCAGGGCCACUGACCUCCCUUCCUCUCUCCUCUGUUCCCUGCUCCGGACAGCACUCCCUCCCCAUUUCCUUCCUGCCCCUGGACGGCAGCUCCGCCUCAGUCAGCUCUGCUCUUUGCUGGCUGUUGCUUAAAUGGGUGAGGAAGCCGCAACAAGUCAUGGCAAAAAAUUAAAAAAAGAAAUGGAUAACCAGAAAGAAAGAAAAAAAGAAAAGAAUGAAAAAAGAAAGACAGAAAGAAAGAAAGAAAAGAAAAGAAAAAAGAAAGGAAGAAAGAAAGAAAGAGAGAGAGAAAGAGAAAGAAAGAAAUCUUAAAAAACAAAAAACAAAAAAAAAAAAAAACAGGACUCUUUGGCACAUUUUUGUUCUUCCUGUUGACACUCUUCCUGGGCGACGAAAAAUUUACUUCGAAUUCAAUUACCACCCAUAUGCGGGUGCCUCCUACAGCCACGUCCAGUCUGGGCCCCUCUUAGCUCUGGAUGCAGAAGCUCCCAGGUCUACACACCUGGCAGGCAGGAUGUGUGGGUCUAGACCUCAGAGCCUGCAUCUCCUCCCUGUCUCCGAAGGAUGGUGAAGAUAAUGGAACCACUUCUUUCUGCUCGCCAGGCACCUGGGAAGGUUAUAGUUCCACCACGGCCUGCCAGAAGUUAAACUGCCCUUCCUUUCUGGGCAAAGAGAGACUUUUUUUUUCAUUGCAUGGCAAUAGGACCUGCAGGCUAUGAGGAGAAAAUGCCAGAGUUGGGCCACAUGGGCUUCUCGCUCCUGCAUUUGUUCUCCGUACUUUUUCAAAGCCAUCGGGAGAAU